RNAcentral lists this transfer RNA (2238 nucleotides) under Homo sapiens (human). RNAcentral describes it as "HSALNT0370065". Lineage: Eukaryota; Metazoa; Chordata; Mammalia; Primates; Hominidae. The record is from RNAcentral.
CCCAGUCCAACAGCUUUUCCCACAUUCCUCCCCGCCACCCACCUCCAGAAGGAGUCUUGCUUGGUCACCCAGGCUCACUGCAACCUCCGCCUCCCGGGUUCAAUCAAUUCUUCUGCCUCAGCCUCCGGAGUAGCUGGGAUUACAGGUGCACCCCACCAUGCCCAGCUAAUUUUUGUAUUUUCAGUAGAAAUGGGGUUUCACCAUGUUGGUCAGGCUGGUCUUGAACUCCUGACCUCGUGAUCCACCCACUUUGGCCUUCCAAAGUGCUAGGAUUACAGGUGUAAGCCACUGAGCCUGGCAGUCACACAUUCUUUCAACUGUUUGUUUCCACCUUUAUUAUAAAGUAUUUAUAAAGAGGGAUCCAGAGUCCCUCACCUGGUUCAGAAUCUUGGGUGACCCUUGGCAGGUCACUAACCCUGUGAGCCACAGCCACAUUUGUAAAAGUGGGAUAAUAGUCACACAUUGUGAGGUUGUUCACAGUGUUGGCACAUGGUAAGGGCUAAGACACUUGAUUAGCAUAAUAUUCAAAAUUAGAAAUUGUACACUAUUGUACUCUCUUUCAAAAGGCAAACAGCCUAAAACUGUUUGGAAAAAACAGCUUGUACAGUAUAUUGUACACUUCCUGUGAUAGACUAGUGGACUGAUACACCCACUAAUGCACAGCAGUAAUAGUCCACCUCUUUACACAUUAUGCAUGUUAAGUGACAAAAAAACUCACUUUAAAAGGCCAAAUGAUAAAAACAUCAGCCUUGAGGCUCUUCGAUAUAGAGUAAAUCAUAUCUUCCUGCAAACCAAGGAUUAGUAUCAUAAUACCUGAAAGAGGAAAACUUAAUUCUAACAUUCAAGAAAAUUGGCGGCAGGAAUACACCUCGGCUUCUAGUAGUCGGUAGUUUAAAAUACAGGAGGAAAAAAAAAAAGUUUGACCCCGACGUGAUUCGAACACGCAGCCUUCUGAUCUGGAGUCAGACGCGCUACCGUUGCGCCACGAGGUCCUGCUGGGCUGUGGCUCGCGCAGUUUCUUAGGACACCAGUAAAUGGCGUUUCUUCCAGGGGUACCAGUCUUUCUCUUCCAUUUACUCUCUGCCCCUCCACCCAGUAUCUGUCGGACCAGGAGACCGAUUCCUUCAGCGUCCAAACUUUCCUGACUGCUAGUCCUCUAACCAAGGCUGGGACGUAACCAGCGGAAGCGGGAGAACGGGGCUUCCCGUUUAGUCGGGUCUCCAGGAUCAAAGGAAAUUGGCCCUUCCUUUUCUUUACCAAAUGAUUUCCGUUCUUACCCGCCCUGCCCCCGCCCCGUUAGUCGCGAGACUCCGCCCUCUCUCCCCUCCCCCAACAGGUUCCGCGCGCUGAGUUCGCGACCUCGAGUUGUAAUCUGGCGGGGCGCCACUAAGCCGGCGCAGGCCUUCGCAAGAUGGCGGCUGGAGGCAAGGGCAGAGGCCUUCAGAGCGUUUUCUUUUUCCCUUUCCUCCCUUCCUGCAAACAAUUGAGGAAACUGAGGCACUGGAAGAUGAAGGCUACAGAGGUAGAAAGUGAUGGAGGAGAUACAUCCAGAAGACUGCAUUACAAUUUCAAAUCAAAGCUGGACAAGUUUUUUUUUUUUUUUACACAGAUAUCACCAUGUUAGAAAAGUUGGACAAGUUUUGAAACCAUUCUGAACCUAUCAUUCCUGUCUUUCAAAUCCUUCCAAGGCAUCUUAUUAUUGAUUUGUUUCUAUAUUUUCCUCAUUAUUAAAGAGGUUGAGUAUCUUUUCUCUAGAGCUAGUUUGGGUUCUGAUUUUCUUCACUUUCGUGAUGGAGUCAUUUUAGAAUUGAAGGGCAUCAUAGCAACUGAGGCAGUGUUGACAUCAUCAAUGUUUUAGGAUUACAGACAAAGUCUCGCUCUGUCACCCAGGCUGGAGUGCAAUGGCAUGAUCUCGGCUCACUGCAACCUCUGCCUCCUGGUUCAAGCAAUUCUCCUGCAUCAGCCUCCUGAGUAGCUGGGAUUACAGGUGCGCACCACCACGCUUGGCUAAUUUUUGUAUUUUUAGUAGAGACAGGGUUUCAUCGUGUUGGCCAGAUUGGUGUCGAACUCUUGACUUCAAGUGAUCCACCCGCCUUGGCCUCCCAAAGUGCUGGGAUUACAGGUGUGAGCCACUGCACCCGGCCUCAAUUUGUGAUUUCUUUCCCCAUAUUUCUACGUCCAGAGUCCAUCUCCUGCCCAUUCAUUCUGAUACAGAAAAUGACACUUAGUUGCUUCCAG